Molecule: transfer RNA, 73 nt
Filed under: Streptomyces cellulosae
Lineage: Bacteria; Bacillati; Actinomycetota; Actinomycetes; Kitasatosporales; Streptomycetaceae
Description: tRNA-Gly
Source: RNAcentral
GGAUCGCGGUGUGCGGGCACGCGCCCGUCUCCACCGGGCGGAUCCGUUCGGGGUCCAGCACCCCGGCGCUCUU